RNAcentral lists this ribosomal RNA (491 nucleotides) under uncultured bacterium. Its description in RNAcentral is "partial 16S ribosomal RNA". It matches the Rfam family "Bacterial small subunit ribosomal RNA", at positions 29 to 506 of the family's 1533-position model. The record is from RNAcentral.
AGUGAACGCUGGCGGUAGGCCUAACACAUGCAAGUCGAACGGCAGCACAGUAAGAGCUUGCUCUUACGGGUGGCGAGUGGCGGACGGGUGAGGAAUACAUCGGAAUCUACUUUUUCGUGGGGGAUAACGUAGGGAAACUUACGCUAAUACCGCAUACGACCUACGGGUGAAAGCAGGGGAUCUUCGGACCUUGCGCGAUUGAAUGAGCCGAUGUCGGAUUAGCUAGUUGGCGGGGUAAAGGCCCACCAAGGCGACGAUCCGUAGCUGGUCUGAGAGGAUGAUCAGCCACACUGGAACUGAGACACGGUCCAGACUCCAACGGGAGGCAGCAGUGGGGAAUAUGGGACAAUGGGGGCAAGCCUGAGCCAGCCAUACCGCGUGGGUGAAGAAGGCCUUCGGGUUGUAAAGCCCUUUUGUUGGGAAAGAAAAGCAGCAGGUUAAUACCCCACUGUUCUGACGGUACCCAAAGAAUAAGCACCGGCUAACUUCGU